AUGUUGGGAUGGUUUAAUGAUGGAUAUUGUCAAACUUUUGAAAUGAAUAAGAGCUUCACUUAUAUGUGCAAACUAAGUUGCAAUAUUUUCGUGUCUUCUUCUUCUUAUGAUAAUAGUUUGGCUUUAUAUUUUAUGAACUAUGAAAGUUACUCAUGCAUACAUGUGUCAUAUGUGCAAAAACAAAGGGACAUAAAAAUGGAUGACAUAUUCAUAUACAACAUGUACACAUUGUCUCUUUUGUUAGCCACAUUUCAGAUUAAGCAACGCCAAGGACGGCUUUGUUUUCAAGAAGGGGAGGAUGAUGAGGACAUGACUACCUUGGAUAUGACCAAAAAUAUUGCAUACACGCAUAUUUGUCAAGUGAUUUCUAGUGCAAACUAUUCAAUAAUCUAUUUAUAUUAUCCAGAACAAAAAUACUUCACACACUUCUGUGUUUUGUCUAAUUGGAGGUGUAUGGGACAUUUGUACAAUCUACAUAUGAAGAUAAGGGAAAAGGAGAAGUUUAGGUUCUAUUCAAAAAGUCCUCUCACGUCACUUUUGGGCCAAGAGAAGAUAGAGUCUAAGUCUCUCACAUUCUAG
RNAcentral lists this ribosomal RNA (579 nucleotides) under Triticum aestivum (bread wheat). Its description in RNAcentral is "partial small subunit ribosomal RNA". The record is from RNAcentral. Lineage: Eukaryota; Viridiplantae; Streptophyta; Magnoliopsida; Poales; Poaceae.